This 429-nucleotide long non-coding RNA is filed under the name Rattus norvegicus (Norway rat). RNAcentral describes it as "long non-coding RNA NONRATT031159". Lineage: Eukaryota; Metazoa; Chordata; Mammalia; Rodentia; Muridae. The record is from RNAcentral.
GUGAAAAAGAGGCUAUGAGUUUGAAGGAGAGCAAGGAGUGGUAUGUGGGGGGAUUAGAGGAAGGAAAGGGAAGAGAGAAAUGUAAGUAUAUUAUAAUCUCAAAAAUAAAAAAGUGACAUCAUUUCUGGAUUGCCCAUUAUCUAAAGACAGCUAUUUGUGUUUUGAGAAAAUUACUUUUUACAAGUUUAUCCACACAGCAGAGCAGGGUGUUGUCAAUAGUCUUUCUGCCUUAUGCUUCUAUUUUUCCCUACAUAAAAUAAACUGUAUUACAAUUUUUAACUGGAGUGUGAUUUUCUUUCAGCUGAUGAGUUUAGUGAGAAUUUUACUACACUUUGCACCACAGGGGAAAAUGAUAAAACAAUUUAAAAUGAUUGCAUACAUCCCUAUCCUGACUCUGCCAUGUAAUAAAAAGACAUUCACCACCGCCAA